GAAAACUUUGCUCCGCACAAAUGUAUACGGUGAAGCGUUGUACGGAGC
Non-coding RNA from Bacillus cereus Rock4-18, 48 nucleotides. The record is from Rfam. NCBI's taxonomy places the organism in Bacteria, Bacillati, Bacillota, Bacilli, Caryophanales, Bacillaceae.